This 57-nucleotide transfer RNA is filed under the name Cephalophorus callipygus (Peters' duiker). Its description in RNAcentral is "Cephalophus callipygus (Peters' duiker) partial tRNA-Pro". RNAcentral also lists the same sequence under 1 other name. The record is from RNAcentral. Lineage: Eukaryota; Metazoa; Chordata; Mammalia; Artiodactyla; Bovidae.
AAGCUAGAGCCCCACUAUCAACACCCAAAGCUGAAGUUCUAUUUAAACCAUUCCCUG